Aegilops tauschii subsp. strangulata is the source of this 1242-nucleotide long non-coding RNA. RefSeq lists it as uncharacterized. The record is from RefSeq and is a predicted model, not a curated record. Lineage: Eukaryota; Viridiplantae; Streptophyta; Magnoliopsida; Poales; Poaceae.
AUCUACCCCGAUCCAGAUCCCCCACCUCCCUCCCGCACCUCCUGCCCCAAACCGGCAACGCGCCCGCCACCCCGCCCCCAACCGGCGGUGGCGCCGCCACCGGCCGACAUCACCCCCCCUCUUCCCGAGAUCCUCUUCGACGCCACUACACCACCGGCGAACCUCGCGCGCCGCCGCCCGCUGCAAACCUCGCGCGCCACGGCCUCUUACCGAAUCCAACCGGCGGAGCUCGCCACGGCAACCACCGCGUUCUUCCUCUCGCCGCCGCCCUGGAGAGGAACCUCCCAAACAUGCGCCACGGUGGAGCUCGCCUGCCCCAGUGCCUCUUCUCCACGCAUGCCCUUCUUCCUCGCCGGAGCUGAUGUGGGCCGCCACAUCACCCCGCUGGCCGGGAUCCCCCUCCCCUGCCCCCGCGCCGUCCUGGCCGGCCACACUGACCUUCUCAUGAGAGCCACCUUGACCUUCCUGGAAUAAGGUUCAUCCAUGGAGCGGCCGCUCCCGCCCCUCCAUCUCCGGCGAGGUGCGCCAUCCCCUCCUUCAGUGCCCCCUUCGGGUGAAGCUCCACGCCACCACCAUCGUCACGCCAUUCCAGCCACUAGCACGCACAUGUUGUUCUCCUCGUGACGGCCAACUUGAACUUCCUGAGGAACUCUCCGAGAAUUAAUAAACUCUCUGCUUUUGUCACAACUCUCGGCCUUGAUGUCUCCUCUGCCUGUUCUCUGCUUUACAGCGUCUCAAUAGCCAUGGAGAAACCUGAAGAUGCAGUUGGAGAAAAGGAAGGGCUAAAGAGGGUAAGGCGUCAUGGACUAGUGGUAAAACAAGCUUUCUUGUACCAAUGAUGAAGGAGUGUGGAUGCAACAAACUUCUGUGUUCAAAAUUGAUGGACAAAGGAGUUGCAGCACACAGAGCAAAACCUAUCUCAGGUACCUCUCACACUAAGGUCCAGAGGGAGUGACAGCGCCGGGGAGAGCAGCACAACAACGAUGACGAAUGCCAGAACGUACAGGCGGCGCUCCGACAAGAGGCCGUGCUUGCCGUCGGCCUCCUUUGCAUCUUCUUCCACGAGUGUUUCUAGUAGGGCUCGAUGUUUAUUAAAAAAGAGUAAGACAUUUACACUUUUCUUCAGGAAGACAUUUGUAAGUCAAAAAACAUGAACUUUUCUUCAACAACGAUGUAAUGCCUGAGAACAAAGUUCUGCUAUGCCUGAGAAUAUAUGGAGUACGUGGCUGGUGUUUAUGCAAA